CUGCAGCCCGAGUGGUGAUCGAUUUUAUUGAGCCUAGAGCGUCCGUAGCCGGACUAGUAAACCCUUGGGUAAAUUGGGCAGCUUAACUGUCCGAAUUCCGAGGGGACUGCUAGUCUUGGGACCGGGAGAGGUCAGAGGUACUCCAGGGGUAGGGGCUAAAUCCUGUAAUCCUUGGGGGACCACCAGUGGCGAAGGCGUCUGACUAGAACGGAUCCGACGGUAAGGGACGAAACCCUGGGGCGCGAACCGGAUUAGAUACCCGAGUAGUCC
RNAcentral lists this ribosomal RNA (270 nucleotides) under uncultured archaeon. Its description in RNAcentral is "partial 16S ribosomal RNA". It matches the Rfam family "Archaeal small subunit ribosomal RNA", at positions 477 to 747 of the family's 1478-position model. The record is from RNAcentral.